This 766-nucleotide ribosomal RNA is filed under the name uncultured bacterium. RNAcentral's name for it is "bacterial SSU rRNA". It matches the Rfam family "Bacterial small subunit ribosomal RNA", at positions 79 to 842 of the family's 1533-position model. The record is from RNAcentral.
CUUGCUUCUCUUGAGAGCGGCGGACGGGUGAGUAAUGCCUAGGAAUCUGCCUGGUAGUGGGGGAUAACGUCCGGAAACGGACGCUAAUACCGCAUACGUCCUACGGGAGAAAGCAGGGGACCUUCGGGCCUUGCGCUAUCAGAUGAGCCUAGGUCGGAUUAGCUAGUUGGUGGGGUAAUGGCUCACCAAGGCGACGAUCCGUAACUGGUCUGAGAGGAUGAUCAGUCACACUGGAACUGAGACACGGUCCAGACUCCUACGGGAGGCAGCAGUGGGGAAUAUUGGACAAUGGGCGAAAGCCUGAUCCAGCCAUGCCGCGUGUGUGAAGAAGGUCUUCGGAUUGUAAAGCACUUUAAGUUGGGAGGAAGGGCAGUAAAUUAAUACUUUGCUGUUUUGACGUUACCGACAGAAUAAGCACCGGCUAACUCUGUGCCAGCAGCCGCGGUAAUACAGAGGGUGCAAGCGUUAAUCGGAAUUACUGGGCGUAAAGCGCGCGUAGGUGGUUCGUUAAGUUGGAUGUGAAAUCCCCGGGCUCAACCUGGGAACUGCAUUCAAAACUGACGAGCUAGAGUAUGGUAGAGGGUGGUGGAAUUUCCUGUGUAGCGGUGAAAUGCGUAGAUAUAGGAAGGAACACCAGUGGCGAAGCGACCACCUGGACUGAUACUGACACUGAGUGCGAAAGUGUGGGGGAGCAAACAGGAUUAGAUACCCUGGUAGUCCACGCCGUAAACGAUGUCAACUAGCCGUUGGGAGCCUUGAGCUCUUA